Molecule: ribosomal RNA, 466 nt
Filed under: uncultured bacterium
Lineage: Bacteria
Description: bacterial SSU rRNA
Rfam family: Bacterial small subunit ribosomal RNA
Source: RNAcentral
CCUACGGGUUGCAGCAGUAGGGAAUCCUCCGCAAUGGACGAAAGUCUGACGGAGCAACGCCGCGUGAGUGAUGAAGGCUUUCGGGUCGUAAAACUCUGUUGUUAGGGAAGAACAAGUGCUAGUUGAAUAAGCUGGCACCUUGACGGUACCUAACCAGAAAGCCACGGCUAACUACGUGCCAGCGGCCGCGGUAAUACGUAGGUGGCAAGCGAUAUCCGGAAUUAUUGGGCGUAAAGCGCGCGCAGGUGGUUUCUUAAGUCUGAUGUGAAAGCCCACGGCUCAACCGUGGAGGGUCAUUGGAAACUGAGAGACUUGAGUGCAGAAGAGGAAAGUGGAAUUCCAUGUGUAGUGGUGAAAUGCGUAGAGAUAUGGAGGAACACCAGUGGCGAAGGCGACUUUCUGGUCUGCAACUGACGCUGAGGCGCGAAAGCGUGGGGAGCAAACAGGAUUAGAUACCCUCGUAGUC